This 262-nucleotide ribosomal RNA is filed under the name uncultured bacterium. RNAcentral's name for it is "partial 16S ribosomal RNA". It matches the Rfam family "Bacterial small subunit ribosomal RNA", at positions 793 to 1055 of the family's 1533-position model. The record is from RNAcentral.
GUCCACGCCGUAAACGAUGGGUACUAGGUGUAGGAGGUAUCGACCCCUUCUGUGCCGUCGUUAACACAAUAAGUACCCCGCCUGGGGAGUACGGUCGCAAGACUAAAACUCAAAGGAAUUGACGGGGCCCGCACAAGCAGCGGAGCAUGUGGUUUAAUUCGAAGCAACGCGAAGAACCUUACCUAGACUUGACAUCUCCUGAAUUACCCGUAAAUGGGGGAAGCUCUUCGUAGCAGGAAGACAGGUGGUGCAUGGUUGUCGU